Molecule: ribosomal RNA, 606 nt
Filed under: Ischnura pumilio
Lineage: Eukaryota; Metazoa; Arthropoda; Insecta; Odonata; Coenagrionidae
Also listed under: 1 other name
Description: partial large subunit ribosomal RNA
Rfam family: Eukaryotic large subunit ribosomal RNA
Source: RNAcentral
UCGCGGCGGCGUGCGCAGAAGGGUCUGGGCUCGAGCCUGCCUGGAGCCGCCGCCGGUGCAGAUCUUGGUGGUAGUAGCAAAUACUCCAGCGAGGCCCUGGAGGACUGAUGUGGAGAAGGGUUUCGUGUGAACAGCCGUUGCACACGAGUCAGUCGAUCCUAAGCCCUAGGAGAAAUCCGACGCCUACGGCGACGGGAAAAAUUUUUUAAAUCAACCCGUUGAUCGGGCGAAAGGGAAUCCGGUUCCUAUUCCGGAACCCGGCAGCGGAACCGCUGUUUGUCGGGCCCUCACAAGGGGUUCGUCAGGGUAACCUAAAAGGGCCCGGAGACGCCGUCGGGAGCCCCGGAAAGAGUUUUCUUUUCUGCAUGAGCGUUCGAGUUCCCUGGAAUCCUCUCGCAGGGAGAUAGGGUUUGGAACGCGAAGAGCACCGCAGUUGCGGCGGUGCCCGGGAAUUCCCGACGGACCUUGAAAAUCCGGGAGAGGGCCACGUGGAGGUGUCGCGCCGGCUCGUACCCAUAUCCGCAGCAGGUCUCCAAGGUGAAGAGCCUCUAGUCGAUAGAAUAAUGUAGGUAAGGGAAGUCGGCAAAUCGGAUCCGUAACUUCGGG